RNAcentral lists this ribosomal RNA (1097 nucleotides) under Pleurothecium recurvatum. Its description in RNAcentral is "eukaryotic LSU rRNA". It matches the Rfam family "Eukaryotic large subunit ribosomal RNA", at positions 85 to 1214 of the family's 3401-position model. Lineage: Eukaryota; Fungi; Ascomycota; Sordariomycetes; Pleurotheciales; Pleurotheciaceae. The record is from RNAcentral.
AACGGCGAGUGAAGCGGCAACAGCCCAGAUUUGAAAUCCGGCUUUCGGGCCCGACUUGUAAUCUGCAGAUGAGUCUUUUGGCGGAGCGCCGUCCAAGUUCCCUGGAACGGGACGCCGGAGAGGGUGAGAGCCCCGUACCGACGUGCGCCGAGUCUUUGCAAAGCUCAUUCGAAGAGUCGAGUAGUUUGGAAAUGCUGCUCAAAUUGUGGGGUAAAUCUCCCAUAAGGCUAAAUACUGGCCAGAGACCGAUAGCGCACAAGUAGCGUGAGCGAAAGAUGAAAAGAGCCUUGAACAAGGGCGUCAAAAAGCAUGUGAAAUUGUUGUGAGGGAAGCGCUCGAUGCCAGACGUGGAGGCGGUUGGUUACCCGGCGUUCUCGCCGGCGCACUCUGCCGUCUCCAGGCCAGCAUCAGUUCGGCUUGGGGCUCAAUGCAGUUGGGAACGUGGCUCUUCGGAGUGUUAUAGCCUAGCUGCGACGUCCUGGGCCGGACUGAGGAACGCGCAUCUGCCCGGAUGCUGGCGUAAUGGCUUCUAGCGACCCGUCUUGAAACACGGACCAAGGAGUUGACCUAACAUGCGAGUGUUUGGGUGUAAAGCCCUCACGCGCAGUGAAAGCGAACGCAGGUGGGAGCUUCGGCGCACCAUCGACCGAUCCUGAAGUUUACGGAUGGAUUUGAGUAAGAGCAUGUUGGGUCUGACCCGAAAGAAGGUGAACUAUGCAUGAAUAGGGUGAAGCCAGAGGAAACUCUGGUGGAGGCUCGCAGCGGUUCUGACGUGCAAAUCGAUCGUCAAAUUUGUGCAUGGGGGCGAAAGACCAAUCGAACCUUCUAGUAGCUGGUUCCUGCCGAAGUUUCCCUCAGGAUAGCAGAGUUGGACCUCAGUUUCAUGAGGUAAAGCGAAUGAUUAGAGACUCGGGGGCGCUAUAUUGCCUUCAUCUAUUCUCAAACUUUAAAUAUGUGAGAAGCCUUGUGUUACUUUCUUGAACGCAGGCCUUUGAAUGAAUCAACUCUAGUGGGCCAUUUUUGGUAAGCAGAACUGGCGAUGUGGGAUGAACCAUACGGGGGCUUAAGGUGCCAGAGUGGACGCUCAUCAGACACCA